This 575-nucleotide long non-coding RNA is filed under the name Olea europaea (common olive). RNAcentral describes it as "long non-coding RNA (OEUR_LNC015436)". The record is from RNAcentral. Lineage: Eukaryota; Viridiplantae; Streptophyta; Magnoliopsida; Lamiales; Oleaceae.
AGAGAAAUAAUGAAAGGUUAUAAUUAUCUUUUUAAAUAUUUACGUAUUUAUAUUUUAUGUUAUUUUCAAAAUUAUGAUGAAAAGCCUUUUAAACAAAAACCACUUAAAAAGCAGCCUCCCAACUAACUUAAGAUAAUAGAGUACGACUAUCAAUUACCUCGUUCACAGAGAACAGGAAGAAUAACGCAAUUAGACCUAGGGUUAGGGAAUCCAGUCCAUUAAACUCCUAAGAAUCGGAAAUAUUGUUCGAAAUCCAGAAAUCGAUUUUCGAUCGAUCAAAGAUGUGGCACGAGGCGAGGAGGUCGGAGAAGAAAGUGCAUGAAAUCCCAACUAACUUAAGGUAAUAGAGUACGACUAUCAAUUACCUCGUUCACAGAGAACAGGAAGAAUAACGCAAUUAGACCUAGGGUUAGGGAAUCCAGUCCAUUAAACUCCUAAGAAUCGGACUUAUUGUUCGAAAUCCAGAAAUCGAUUUUCGAUCGAUCAAAGAUGUGGCACGAGGCGAGGAGGUCGGAGAAGAAAGUGCAUGAAAUGAUGGACGCUGCUCGGAAGAGAGCGCAGCGCAGAGCUAUAUA